RNAcentral lists this ribosomal RNA (465 nucleotides) under Vreelandella stevensii. RNAcentral's name for it is "partial 16S ribosomal RNA". It matches the Rfam family "Bacterial small subunit ribosomal RNA", at positions 338 to 795 of the family's 1533-position model. Lineage: Bacteria; Pseudomonadati; Pseudomonadota; Gammaproteobacteria; Oceanospirillales; Halomonadaceae. The record is from RNAcentral.
CCUACGGGUGGCAGCAGUGGGGAAUAUUGGACAAUGGGCGAAAGCCUGAUCCAGCCAUGCCGCGUGUGAGAAGAAGGCCUUCGGGUUGUAAAGCACUUUCAGUGGGGAAGAAAGCCUUGGGGCUAAUACCCUCGAGGAAGGACAUCACCCACAGAAGAAGCACCGGCUAACUCCGUGCCAGCAGCCGCGGUAAUACGGAGGGUGCGAGCGUUAAUCGGAAUUACUGGGCGUAGAGCGCGCGUAGGCGGUCUGAUAAGCCGGUUGUGAAAGCCCCGGGCUCAACCUGGGAACGGCAUCCGGAACUGUCAGGCUAGAGUGCAGGAGAGGAAGGUAGAAUUCCCGGUGUAGCAGUGAAAUGCGUAGAGAUCGGGAGGAAUACCAGUGGCGAAGGCGGCCUUCUGGACUGACACUGACGCUGAGGUGCGAAAGCGUGGGUAGCAAACAGGAUUAGAUACCCUAGUAGUC